UACGGAGGAUGCAAGCGUUAUCCGGAUUUAUUGGGUUUAAAGGGUGCGCAGGUGGUUUAAUAAGUCAGUGGUGAAAGUCUGCCGCUUAACGGUAGGAUUGCCAUUGAUACUGUUGGACUUGAAUAUGGAUGAGGUAGGCGGAAUGUGUAGUGUAGCGGUGAAAUGCUUAGAUAUUACACAGAACACCGAUUGCGAAGGCAGCUUACUAAUCCAUGAUUGACGAUGAGGCACGAAAGCGUGGGGAUCAAACAGGAUUAGA
RNAcentral lists this ribosomal RNA (259 nucleotides) under uncultured prokaryote. Its description in RNAcentral is "partial 16S ribosomal RNA". It matches the Rfam family "Bacterial small subunit ribosomal RNA", at positions 524 to 782 of the family's 1533-position model. The record is from RNAcentral.